Long non-coding RNA from Phacochoerus africanus (Common warthog), 1050 nucleotides. RefSeq lists it as uncharacterized. The record is from RefSeq and is a predicted model, not a curated record. The transcript is spliced from 3 exons. Lineage: Eukaryota; Metazoa; Chordata; Mammalia; Artiodactyla; Suidae.
CUCUCUCAGAGGUAAGAAUAUUUUCCACCAUUGCUGCUCAGACGUAUCGCUUUAUGAAGGAGGUGGAAGGAGGUCAGAUCAUACUCAGCACUUCUGAGUGGGGAAGGAAGAGGGAGGACUAGGACCUGGACUCAAGGAUUCUGCUCCAGACCUUUACUUGCACCACAAGCCUUCCUCCUCUGCCUCAUCCAUGCUCCCUAGUAUGCCGAGGAUGCAGCCCCAGCCAGAGGCUUCAGAAAGCUUUAAGGAUUCUCGUGUUCCUUGGAAUCAAGCCUGGAAAUGGAAAUCUGGUGUAGUCUCAUGUUGUGAGGCAAUGCAGCCCAGCCUUUGAAAACAGAAAGACCUGCCAUUUGUGUUCCUGAUUAUUAAGUCACCAGAGUCCAAGCCAGAGAUGCUGCCUUCUGUUCCCUCUGUGAUUGCUCCCUUGGGGUGACCCGGUGGCACUGGGUCCUGGAGACAGCAAGGAAAAAGGACUCUCCUCAACUACCUGGGCCUCCAGUUCAUUCCUUAUUUCCCAAAACAGCUCGGCAAACUUCUCAGAAUCAGCAGCAUUCAGAAAUGAUCCCAUCUUCAUUAAUCCAUACCCUCCACAAAACACAGUCUGCCGAAUGUGAGUUAACUGUUCCAACAAUGAGACAGAAACCUUUUUGGAGCUGAUGGCCACUUCUCUCCACAUCCACUAACACUCCUACUCCAUCCCCAAAAUUUCAGAGACCUGAGAGCUCAGUUUCAGCCUGGUCACACAUGGAAUCUGAGUCAACUGUUCAUUAAUCAAAACAAACUAACCCCUGGCGUAGAGCCUGCCCACAGCCAGUGACCACAUGCUUGAAGGAUAAAGGACAGAUAACAUAUGGAUUUGCAGAGGUCAAGGGCCUCCAAGAAAGGAUGUGAAUAUGAUUUGUUGGAGAGUAUUUACAUUAGUUUCUUCUCCCUCUUUCUUACCCAUGCCCUGUGAUAUUUAAGGUUUUCUAACAAUAAGGAAAAAUUAUAGCAAGGUCAAGGUACAGCAUUAUUACAACUUAUAUCUCAGUUUGGAUUUAUAGGACAUGU